RNAcentral lists this unclassified non-coding RNA (1136 nucleotides) under Orussus abietinus. RNAcentral describes it as "translation initiation factor IF-3-like, transcript variant X1". Lineage: Eukaryota; Metazoa; Arthropoda; Insecta; Hymenoptera; Orussidae. The record is from RNAcentral.
UACAUGGCAGUGUCGACCCCCUGUACACAAGUGCAUCUCAGUUGCUUAGUUAAAAACGUUAUUAGUAAAACAGGUCUGACCUCUUUGUUAUUAUCAUUCUGGUUCUUAUGUGAUUCAAUUGAAUUUUAAAUCUGAAAGCAUUAUUUUAAGAGAUGGCAAUGUACGUAAAUGCAAGGAUUGCAAGGCUCUGUCAUUGUGUGGAAAGUUUACAGAAUUUGGCUACUCUCAUAAAUAGAAACAAGACGGUUUUCAAUAAAAUAUGCAGGAAAAACUUUAUACAAAGUGAGAGCUUGUUCACCGCACCUGUACUAAAUGGGAUAAUAGGUCUUGAGGAACCAACGGUACCGAAAGCUCAAAAGAAAAUUAUUAGACCACGGCUGAAAAUUACCCUUAUUAUGACCGAUGGUAGUAAGGAUGUAAUGUGGUUGGACGAGGCAGAAAAAGUGGCCAAGCGUCGCGAUGUGAAAUUAAUGAAAUUAUUGGAUUAUGACGAGAAGGAGCAAAGACCAUUGUAUAAGCUUAUGUCAGAAAAAGAGUAUUUUCAAGAAGAUGUUAAGCAAUCGUUGAAGGAAAUUCCUUCGGAGAAAAAAUACUCCCGCCACUCCGUCAAGUUAAUUUCUAUAUCAAGUAAUAUUGCAGAUCACGAUUUGGGUAUAAAGAUCAAAAAUAUAAAUAAAAUGUUAACUAAGAAUCAAGAAGUAAGUGUCUUGAUCAUUUCUCAAGGGAAGGAGGAUGUUACGAACAAGAUAUUGCAAACCAUUAAAUCUGGAGUUAAGGAACACGGCAAGAUCGCAACAGAGAAUAAAAAGGGCAACGCAUGGAAGCUCUUAUUACAACCAAUUCCAACAGCCUCAAGUUCUACAGAUAUAAUCAGCACCGCUUCUGAAAAAGAAACCAGCUAGUGAAGAAAUAUCGAACUUCCUAAUAUUCUGUCUCGAUGAAGUGGCAAUGAAUUUUAUCCUUCAAAGGAUUUACGUGUAACUUUCACUUGUAUAUUUGGUCCAGGAAAUCUAGGAUUGCACAAGCACAAAUGCCCAAUGAGAACCUAAUAUCCUUCAGGUUCGCACACUGUUGACAAUGUCAAAAAGCUUUUGCGGAAUAUGUUGACCAAAAUAAAUGGUCAGCACUUUGCAUGA